RNAcentral lists this long non-coding RNA (1165 nucleotides) under Citrus x clementina. RNAcentral's name for it is "Citrus clementina (C. clementina) long non-coding RNA (CCLE_LNC001939)". The record is from RNAcentral. Lineage: Eukaryota; Viridiplantae; Streptophyta; Magnoliopsida; Sapindales; Rutaceae.
CUGAAGUUAUAUUUUUUUGCAUCCGUCCACCUCUGUUUUCAUGCUGUGAAGAGAACUAGCGGAAUAUUAGUCAAAUGACUUUUUUAUCCCUAAAUAUAAAAUUACAGUUUUACCCUAGAUAAUGACUUUUUUGCCUCCAAAUAUAAAAUGACAGUUUUACACAUUGAAGCUUACAACCAUACCAUAUUCAAACACAGAAUCUACACAUCCAAACAUCCAACAGCCCCAUUCAUUCAUUCAAUCAAACGCAGCAUCUGGUCAAUCUCCAGAGACAGUCUCUCCUCGCAAAGCUUUUCCCACUUUCUGUUGCCAUAUCAUGAAAGUGAGAAAAACUUCAUCAAAAAAGACGCACAAUAGCAGAUAAGCAAUUCUUUUAUUGUUACACAAAUUUUAACACCAUUAUAUCAACUCAAUUACAUAGGCUAAGAUUGCAUCAAAGAACACUAAUGCAGAUUAAAAAUAACACAUGUCAAAUGCGAUCACAUCCACUUUUCAAAAAUAAAAUAUUUGUAUUGAAUAUAGAAUGAUGUUAAUAUACCGCACUGAGAGUGAUGAAACCAAUAGUCAAUGAUAAAUCGUGCACAAACAAUGUAGUGUAUGUUUUGAAUCAUAGCAUCAAUAAAACAAAACCCAAAAACUAGCAAUUUUACCCAAAAGAAAAUUAAGUAAAAAACAAAUAAAAAAAUUCAUAAAUAACACAAAAACCCAAACCAUUAUUCAUUCAAUUAAGGUAACAAAAUAUUAAUUACAAAAGAACCCAACUUUCUAUUUUUAAGCCGAUUUCAUUACUAUCUAAAAAUCGAAUCUCAGCUAAAAGGAAAGUUAAAAAAAAAAAAAAAAUUUGAAACCUGUUAUUUAGGCCGAAAACGAAGAGCAUUGCGGUACGAUGCGUUUUGUCUUAGUAGAGAUAAAGCCAGCGAGAGAGAGCUUUUAUACUUUGCUUUGAGAUUUUUGUGAUGUUAUUCUUUGGUUUCUGUCUGCGGCUUCCAAUCCCGAAGAAGAAGAAUUGAUGACCAAGUUAAACAACGUCGUUUUUUGUUGUACAGGAUGAAAUGACAAUUUUAGCCUUUUGACAUCAGUAAAGUUAUAACAGCGUAUAAACAGAAGUGGAUGGGUGUAAGAAAAUGUAAUUUUAGGUGAAAUUCAACCAAGAAGAAUUGAUUUC